GUUGAACGCUGGCGGCGUGCCUAAUACAUGCAAGUCGAGCGAAGCGGGGACGGGUGAGUAACACGUGGAUAACCUCCUAUAAGGCUGGGAUAACUUCGGGAAACCGGAGCUAAACCGGAUUCUUAUCGAAGGAUCCGCGCUGCAUUAGCUAGUUGGUAAGGUAACGGCUUACAAAGGCAACGAUGCAUAGCCGACCUGAGAGGGUGAUCGGCCACACUGGAACUGAGACACGGUCCAGACUCCUACGGGAGGCAGCAGUAGGGAAUCUUCCGCAAUGGGCGAAAGCCUGACGGAGCCACGCCGCGUGUGUGAAGAAGGUCUUCGGAUCGUAAAGUUCUGUUAUUAGGGAGGCGUUACCUAAUCAGAAAGCAACGGCUAACUACGUGCCAGCAGCCGCGGUAAUUC
RNAcentral lists this ribosomal RNA (405 nucleotides) under uncultured bacterium. RNAcentral's name for it is "partial 16S ribosomal RNA". It matches the Rfam family "Bacterial small subunit ribosomal RNA", at positions 28 to 526 of the family's 1533-position model. The record is from RNAcentral.